ACUUAACUCUGGUCCCGGGCAGCCAAGACAAAGCGAAAGUCUCUCCCCAGGAGGACUCUCUUACUCCCCUUCUCAGCUCCUGGCCUCCAGCUUCUUUUCAUGUGGUAUGUCUACCAUCCUGCAAACUUGGAUGGGCAGCAGGCUGCCUCUUGUCCAGGCUCCAUCCUUAGAGUUCCUUAUCCCUGCUCUGGUGCUGACCAGCCAGAAGCUACCCCGGGCCAUCCAGACACCUGGAAACUCCUCCCUCAUGCUGCACCUUUGUAGGGGACCUAGCUGCCAUGGCCUGGGGCACUGGAACACUUCUCUCCAGGAGGUGUCCGGGGCAGUGGUAGUAUCUGGGCUGCUGCAGGGCAUGAUGGGGCUGCUGGGGAGUCCCGGCCACGUGUUCCCCCACUGUGGGCCCCUGGUGCUGGCUCCCAGCCUGGUUGUGGCAGGGCUCUCUGCCCACAGGGAGGUAGCCCAGUUCUGCUUCACACACUGGGGGUUGGCCUUGCUGUACGUGAGUCCUGA
This 510-nucleotide long non-coding RNA is filed under the name Homo sapiens (human). Its description in RNAcentral is "non-protein coding lnc-CNPPD1-1:2". The record is from RNAcentral. Lineage: Eukaryota; Metazoa; Chordata; Mammalia; Primates; Hominidae.